RNAcentral lists this ribosomal RNA (503 nucleotides) under uncultured bacterium. RNAcentral's name for it is "bacterial SSU rRNA". It matches the Rfam family "Bacterial small subunit ribosomal RNA", at positions 29 to 523 of the family's 1533-position model. The record is from RNAcentral.
AUUGAACGCUGGCGGCAUGCUUUACACAUGCAAGUCGAGCGGCAGCGCGGGGGCAACCCUGGCGGCGAGCGGCGAACGGGUGAGUAAUGCAUCGGAACGUACCCUGGAGUGGGGGAUAACGCCGCGAAAGCGGCGCUAAUACCGCAUACGCACUGAGGUGGAAAGCGGGGGACCUUUGGGCCUCGCGCAAUUGGAGCGGCCGAUGUCGGAUUAGCUAGUUGGUGAGGUAAAAGCUCACCAAGGCGACGAUCCGUAGCUGGUCUGAGAGGAUGAUCAGCCACACUGGAACUGAGACACGGUCCAGACUCCUACGGGAGGCAGCAGUGGGGAAUUUUGGACAAUGGGCGAAAGCCUGAUCCAGCCAUGCCGCGUGAGUGAAGAAGGCCUCGGUUGUAAGCUCUUUCUAGACGGAAAGGAAAUAAGACUUCGGUGAAUAUCCGAGGUUGAUGACGGUACCGUAAGAAGAAGACACCGGCUAACUACGUAGCCAGCAGCCGCGGUAA